CCACUUUCAACAACGGAGCUCUUGGUUCUGGCAUCGAUGAAGAACGCAUCGAAAUGCGAUAGGUAGUGUGAAUUGCAGAAUUCACUGAAUCACCGAAUCUUUGAACGCACAUUGCGCCCCUUGGUAUUCCAUGGGGCAUGCCUGUUCGAGCGUCAUUU
RNAcentral lists this ribosomal RNA (158 nucleotides) under Paraphoma sp. Its description in RNAcentral is "5.8S ribosomal RNA". It matches the Rfam family "5.8S ribosomal RNA". From Rfam's summary of the family: 5.8S ribosomal RNA (5.8S rRNA) is a component of the large subunit of the eukaryotic ribosome. It is transcribed by RNA polymerase I as part of the 45S precursor that also contains 18S and 28S rRNA. Functionally, it is thought that 5.8S rRNA may be involved in ribosome translocation. The record is from RNAcentral. Lineage: Eukaryota; Fungi; Ascomycota; Dothideomycetes; Pleosporales; Phaeosphaeriaceae.